This 231-nucleotide ribosomal RNA is filed under the name uncultured bacterium. RNAcentral describes it as "partial 16S ribosomal RNA". It matches the Rfam family "Bacterial small subunit ribosomal RNA", at positions 118 to 350 of the family's 1533-position model. The record is from RNAcentral.
UGACCAACCUGCCCCUAACUCUGGGAUAACCCCGGGAAAACCGGAGCUAAUACCGGAUACGAGACCGAGUGGCAUCACACGGUCUGGAAAGUUUUUCGGUUAGGGAUGGGGUCGCGGCCUAUCAGCUUGUUGGUGGGGUAAUGACCUACCAAGGCGACGACGAGUAGCCGGCCUGAGAGGGCGACCGGCCACACUGGGACUGAGACACGGCCCAGACUCCUACGGGAGGCA